This 514-nucleotide ribosomal RNA is filed under the name Geodia neptuni. RNAcentral's name for it is "SSU rRNA". It matches the Rfam family "Eukaryotic small subunit ribosomal RNA", at positions 600 to 1121 of the family's 1831-position model. Lineage: Eukaryota; Metazoa; Porifera; Demospongiae; Tetractinellida; Geodiidae. The record is from RNAcentral.
UAUAUUAAAGUUGAUGAAGUUAAAAAGCUCGUAGUUGGAUUUCGGGGCGGCCCGGCCGGUCCGCCGCAAGGCGAGUACUGGUCGGGCGCCCUUCCUCUCGAAGGCUUCGACUGCUCUUGAUUGUGGUGGUCGAGGAGUUCGGGACGUUUACUUUGAAAAAAUUAGAGUGUUCAAGGCAGGCCGUGGCCUGAAUACAUUAGCAUGGAAUAAUGGAAGAGGACCUCGGUCCUAUUUUGUUGGUUUCCAGGGCCGAAGUAAUGAUUGAGAGGGACAGUUGGGGGCAUUCGUAUUUAAUUGUCAGAGGUGAAAUUCUCGGAUUUAUGAAAGACGAACAAGUGCGAAAGCAUUUGCCAAGGAUGUUUUCAUUAAUCAAGAACGAAAGUUGGGGGUUCGAAGACGAUCAGAUACCGUCGUAGUCCCAACCAUAAACUAUGCCGACUAGGGAUCGGCGGAUGUUAGCGUCUGACUCCGUCGGCACCUUACGAGAAAUCAAGAGUCUUUGGGUUCCGGGGGG